Molecule: ribosomal RNA, 502 nt
Filed under: uncultured bacterium
Lineage: Bacteria
Description: bacterial SSU rRNA
Rfam family: Bacterial small subunit ribosomal RNA
Source: RNAcentral
AGUGAACGCUGGCGGCAGGCCUAACACAUGCAAGUCGAACGGCAGCACAGCAGUAGCAAUACUGUGGGUGGCGAGUGGCGGACGGGUGAGGAAUACAUCGGAAUCUGCCUAGUCGUGGGGGGAUAACGUAGGGAAACUUACGCUAAUACCGCAUACGACCUACGGGUGAAAGCGGGGGAUCGCAAGACCUCGCGCGAUUAGAUGAGCCGAUGUCCGAUUAGCUAGUUGGCGGGGUAAUGGCCCACCAAGGCGACGAUCGGUAGCUGGUCUGAGAGGAUGAUCAGCCACACUGGAACUGAGACACGGUCCAGACUCCUACGGGAGGCAGCAGUGGGGAAUAUUGCGCAAUGGACGAAAGUCUGACGCAGCAACGCCGCGUGAGUGACGAAGGCCUUUGGGUUGUAAAGCUCUUUCGGCCGGGAAGAAGGGCAAGGGUGUUAAUAGUAUCCUUGUUUGAUGGUACCGGAAGAAGAAGCACCGGCUAACUUCGUGCCAGCAGCCG